CCGUCUUGAAACACGGACCAAGGAGUCUAACAUGUGCGCGAGUCACUCGGUCUUGAAUAGGCCAGAGAGGCGCAAUGAAAGUAAAUUUGUUUAGUUACGAUCCUUACAUUUACAGUUGCAUUCACUUGUGACUGUUGUUUGGCGCAGUAACGGCCUGCCAAUUUCGCCUAUUGACGAUCUGGCAGAGUUGUAGCGUACACGUUGGUACCCGAAAGAUGGUGAACUAUGCCUGGGCAAGACGAAGCCAGAGGAAACUCUGGUGGAGGUCUGUAGCGAUUCUGACGUGCAAAUCGAUCGUCCGACCUGGGUAUAGGGGCGAAAGACUAAUCGAACCAUCUAGUAGCUGGUUCCUUCC
Molecule: ribosomal RNA, 355 nt
Filed under: Selenoribates quasimodo
Lineage: Eukaryota; Metazoa; Arthropoda; Arachnida; Sarcoptiformes; Selenoribatidae
Description: partial large subunit ribosomal RNA
Rfam family: Eukaryotic large subunit ribosomal RNA
Source: RNAcentral